AGAGUUUGAUCAUGGCUCAGAGUGAACGCUGGCGGUAGGCCUAACACAUGCAAGUCGAACGGCAGCACAGGAGAGCUUGCUCUCUGGGUGGCGAGUGGCGGACGGGUGAGGAAUACAUCGGAAUCUACCUUGUCGUGGGGGAUAACGUAGGGAAACUUACGCUAAUACCGCAUACGACCUUCGGGUGAAAGUGGGGGACCGCAAGGCCUCACGCGAUUAGAUGAGCCGAUGUCGGAUUAGCUAGUUGGCGGGGUAAAAGCCCACCAAGGCGACGAUCCGUAGCUGGUCUGAGAGGAUGAUCAGCCACACUGGAACUGAGACACGGUCCAGACUCCUACGGGAGGCAGCAGUGGGGAAUAUUGGACAAUGGGCGCAAGCCUGAUCCAGCCAUACCGCGUGGGUGAAGAAGGCCUUCGGGUUGUAAAGCCCUUUUGUUGGGAAAGAAAUCCUGUCGAUUAAUACUUGGCGGGGAUGACGGUACCCAAAGAAUAAGCACCGGCUAACUUCGUGCCAGCCGCCGCGGUAAUUC
RNAcentral lists this ribosomal RNA (529 nucleotides) under uncultured bacterium. Its description in RNAcentral is "bacterial SSU rRNA". It matches the Rfam family "Bacterial small subunit ribosomal RNA", at positions 8 to 526 of the family's 1533-position model. The record is from RNAcentral.